ACGUGGCACAGUCUCAAGUGUCACUACUCAUCCGUUAUCCAAAACUUACGCUCACUACCCAACUACAUAGACAUUCUCUUAAUAUCCCAUAAGUAGUUAUUUAAUGUGCUCUUCCAUGACAAGCACAUUCUCUCACAAUUGAACUUCAUACCCAAUAAACCGUUCUUAAACAUAUUCUGUCAUGAUAAGCACGUUUUCUCAUAAUUGAACGUAUUUUCUCAACUGCUCCUAAGAAAGUACUUUUGUUCAAUAUAGAACUUUAGUGGUUGGGGGCAAUAAAACAAAAAUCAUAAACUUGGCAGAGACUAUCAUCAAAACUCUCCGAAAUAUUCUCUUUACUCAGCCCUUUCCAUCUACCGUGCUCCGUUGCUUUCUCCACCUUUUCUUAUUCCUCACCGCCUACCACCAAAGCACUCUAAUCUUUCUUUUUGCCGCCUCUAGUGCAUUCCGUUUUGCUUAUUACAACAUGCCCUCUCUCCCUACCAGAAGAAUCCUCUACAACAAGUAUUGUUAGAAUUGAAGAAUUGUUAAUAAACAAAAAUUGUGCUAUGUUCUCCUUUUGAAGUGAGUGCCAUAUUUGUUAAUAUUAUCCCCUUGAUUCAUCUCAUUAAUUGAAUAACCUUUCUCCUUAUUUAAUCACGUGCUACAUAUGAAUAUCAAUAUAUUAUGUGAAAAUGUCAUAUGCAUCACUUGAGGUACGAUUUUUAACUUAUAAUACCCACAUACAUUCAGCUAGUUUUAAUUAAUCCCUUAAAUCUUUUUGUUGUUCUUUCUCAGUGUUAUAUGCUCGGUUGAUCUUUUUUUCCUUUAGGAGCCAAAUUGUGCUUCUUUGGUUGCUGAAAAACUGAUAGUUUUAACCAGUCUGAUCACUAAUGGAAGAAGAAAAAGUUAAUAAGCAGCUACUAUAGACAAUGCUUAUGGCAAGAUAUUCAGAGUUAACGAACUGUAAAAUUGUGUGGUGCUCAAUGCUCACUUUGGUGCAUUAGCUCCAGGUUUCUGAUGUUGUAAUCCAUUCAACUGAAUCAAUUGCUUUGUCUUUGUGUGUAUGUUACUUAUCCAUUAAUUGCCUGCAUUUUUCAUGAUUUUUCAUGUUUUCUACUGUCACUGAACAUCAGCUGAGAUUGCAUACACUUACUAUUGUUUUUGAAGGCUGUUGGCUUCGAGGGGGAUGUUCGCAAGCAGGAAGAUGCAAGAAGAGUGGUUGAAUCAACUUUCAAGCAUUUUGGCCACAUUGACAUUCUUGUGAAUGCUGCUGCUGGCAAUUUUCUUGUGUCAGCUGAGGAUUUGUCCCCUAAUGGGUUUCGAACAGGUACUUGGAGCCUUUCCAACAGGGUUUCUGAUGUAUACAGGGUCAUUUGAUGAGAGCAAUUUGUAGAUUUAGCUCAAUGAUCUUAGGCCUUAUCUACAAUGCCUUUUGAAGCUCUAGCAAAUUUUUAUCUUUUCCUGUACUUGUUUAAAAUUUUGUUCUUAACUUCCUCAUAGAGUUAUUAAGCGAAAAAAUAUCCUGUUUUUCCCUUUUUAUUUUUUUUGAAAAACCCCACCUCAAAAGUUAUUAGCAACUACUUUCUUAUGAUUAGUAACUAGGCCUUCUUUAUAUAAACGUUUUAGCCAAAGCUUAUUCUGACCUACACCUGCAGUUAUGGAUAUUGAUUCUGUUGGCACAUUUACCAUGUGCCAUGAAGCACUUAAGUAUCUCAAAAAAGGAGGACAUGGAAGGAACUCAUCUGGGGGGGGAGUGAUUUUGAACAUUAGUGCUACUUUGCAUUAUACAGCUGCUUGGUAUCAAAUACAUGUCUCUGCAGCCAAGGUUUGUUGUAUAAAAUUCUUCCUGUGAGGAAUAUUUUACUCUUGACUUAUACUUAUUUGCAGUGUUUUCUUUCUGUUAGGCAGCUGUUGAUAGCAUUACUAGAAACUUAGCACUUGAGUGGGGAACUGACUAUGAUAUUCGAGUAAAUGGUAUUGCCCCAGGCCCUAUUGGUGAUACUCCUGGCAUAAGUAAACUUGCACCAGAGGAGAUUAAUAGCAAAGCUCGAGAUUACAUGCCAUUGUAUAAAUUAGGGGACAAAUGGGAUAUCGCUAUGGCUGCUCUCUAUCUUUUCUCAGAUGCUGGUGAGUAACCUUGAUCCCUGUUCUAGUUAUCUCGCCAUUACCAAUAUUUGUCUAUAUAUUAAAGAUUCAAGAAUCUAAUCUUAAACUCACUGAUCAAUACAACAGUAUGAUGUGUGAAUGUUAUCUUUUUCUUGUUUUCUGCAUGUUCAUAUCCAAAUCUCAGUCCUGAAUUUUCAGAGCCAUCGUAAUCCAUCUUUUUUUUGUCCUUAUAUUAAUCAAUUACCAUCAUAUGAAGGUUUAAUUUUCAUUUUCACUAUUAGCUUCAAUACAUCUGAGCUCAACAUAUCCAACGCGCUUGAUCUGGCUGUACAGUCUUUAGAUUACAAGAAAUACGCCCAUGUUGUCUGAUAUAUUCUGCUAUAUGCAUGUGCAUCUGAUGUGUUUCACCUUCUCAUGGAGUUGGCACUUAUUUUAAAUGGAAGUAUUUCCUUUCCCUCCCCUCAUUUGAUUCGUAUGAUCAUGGAUCCAAAAUAAAAUAAAGGAUGAAAAAAGUUCAUGGUGUUGGCACUUAGUCCAGGGAAUGAUAGUUGGCAGAGUAGCAUGCAUUUUCUCUUCUUGCCAUUGUUUUUCCAGCAUUAAUAAUUUUCUGAGAAAGUUUUAAGCUCUUAAUCCGUGUGUAUGCAAAUUUUAAGGUAAAUAUGUCAAUGGAACUACACUUAUAGUCGAUGGUGGACAUUGGCUGAGCCGGGCUCGCCAUAUACCGAAAGAGGCAGUCAAGCAGCUGUCUCGGGCAGUCGAAAAGAGAUCUAGAGAUAAACCAGUUGGAGUUCCAACCAGCAAGCUGUAAACCAAGCUGAUGGAGUGAUCAUCUACAUGCUUCAACAUAUGUGUAUAGCUAAAACUAUUGUUUUCAUAUAUGAACAUUUCAGGGGAGGGCUUUCAUGCCUCGUUACAAGCCAUCAGUUGAUUGAAUAAACCUAGAAGCUACUUUACCAAGCUAUUGAAUUAAGUCUUCUCAAGCUUUUCAUGACAUGCAGGAAAAAGCUAGUUCUUUUCAAAUCAAGAGGGAUUGUAGACAUUUUAUUUUGUUUGGGGUGUUUUUUUAUUUUUUUACAACUUGUAAUUAAAAUUUUUUAUUUUUUUAUUUUGAUCAUAUAAUUGAAAAAUAUAAAACAAUAGAAAAUACAAAAGAAAAUAUAUAGAAAAUUAAAAAUAUGAAGAAGUAAAAAUAAUAGAGAAUUGAAAAAAUACAAAAGAAUGGGAAAAUAUACAAACAAUAAUAAUAAAAAAGAAAAGAGAAUAGAGGCAUGGUUUGAUAACCUUUUUCAAAAUUCGUCCAAAUCUUAAGUUGAUAAUUUUUUAUCUAAACACAAUUUAUCUCUUAAUUUGGAGUUAACGCUGUCAUAACGUAUGAGUUUUAAAACACAAUUGUUAAAAGUAAAAGAAGUCAUUAUAUUUAAAAGUGAUUAAUCACUUAAUUGAAUUUAAUUUUCUUAAUGAAGUCUUACUUUUGACUUAGGUUCUUUAAAAAAAUAGAUUUCAAUUUACGAAAUAGAUUAAGUUUGAAAAUAUAAUUACGUGGAAGUACAAUUACGUUUGAGGAAAUGAUUAACACCUUCACAAGGUCCAUUUAAGAUGAUACUUAUUUAAUUAUCUAUUUUUUUUAGUCUUAAUAAAUGAAUUUUAUUAUAGUAUCUUAAUUUAUUUUCCUUAACUAUUUCUCCAAUUAUCAUUUUAAAACAAAUAAAAUAUCCUUUAAUAUUGAAAAUUCAACCAAAAUUCCCCAAACCUUUUGAUAAAAUUUAAAAAGAUUUUCUGACCUAAAAAUUUUUCAAGAAAAGUAUCCAUUAUAACAGUCUCAAAAUUCUAUCAUUGAAAGAUUUUUAUUUAUUUUAUAUUAAACAUUCAUAUAUGUACAAUUUAAAUUCUUUAUUUACCUAUUUUCAUAUAUAUAAUAAUUAUUUAUAAAUAAAUUUUUUUCUAAAAAUAUUUAUAAGAUUACCUCCCAAUCUUUAUGGUAAGGUCUCAUAAUUAUUUUUACUCUAAAAAAUUUUAAAAAAAUUACCCCUUGUAACUUCCCUUAAAAAUUUCAUUCUAAAAAUUUAUUUAAAUAAUUAUGAAUCGUUAUUAUUAUUAUUAUUAUUAUUAUUUGAUUUUAUAGUUUUAUUUUAUCAAUUAUGAUUUGAAGAACUUUAUCCUAACCUAAUUACUACCUAAAAAAUUAUUUUUAUUAUAUUUUAUGCAUUUUCACUAAAACCAAAAAUAAAAUAAAUAAAGAAAACAUGACAUGAACAAAUAAAACAAGUAUCAUAAGGAUUCAAGCCCAUACUUAGUGGGUGGGCUAAUAAAUAUAACUAACAGGCCUACCCAAGACUAGCCCACAGUAGUAAAACCCAAGACCGAACAAUCUGCUUCAAUCAAAACGAUGCCAAACUAGUUAUCUAUUUAAGUUCCUCUUCUCCCUCUCAAACAACAUGAUUUCUUCUGAUUAUAAAAAUCCUUUUUCUGAAACCUUAGCUCACUUCUUUUCCCUUUGUUUUUUCUUCACACCGCCAUUCUCCCUCUCUCUUUAGAGCUUCUUUGAUUCCUCCUGCAACCGCCUUGUUCUAUGUCUCCGACCACCGUUUGUUUGUACCCAAACCUCACCAAACUUGACCCACGAAAGCUCCUUAAGCCGUUUUCCUUUUAAUUGGAAUCAUUUUUAAAAAUGUAUACGAUAUUCCUGGAUUAAACCCCAAAAAUUUCAAAACCCAAGAAACCCAAGAACACUCUUUUUGAUGAUUUCUCUUGUGUGAUUUUUUUUCUUUUAACUUGCCUCCCUAAUUGCUGCGUUUUUUGGGGGUUUAUAUAGGUGUUUUCUUCUAAUCUUGAUUUACUUGUAAAAUUUUUAUUUUAUUUGAUUUUGUGGGAAUAUUUCUUGGUUUAAAAUAUUUAUGUUUGUGGAAGGAUUUUAGAGGUUCCAUUGGCCUUUUCUCUUUUUGUGAUUGAUCCUUUUUCCUUUUAAUCUUCUUUUAUUUUCUUUUGUUCUUUCCAAGUUUUUUUUAUUUUGAUUUACUUUCACUUUUUGUUUUGUUUGAUCUUUAUUUGUGAUGUUUGUUUCAUUUUUUGUAAUUACUUUAAUGGAUUUUGACUUAUUUAAGUUAUGAACCCAUUUGGGUUAUGGGUUAUGAAUCCAUUAAGAUUAUAAGCCCAUCAUUCCUUAGGUCCAAAAACCAAGUCAAACUAAAAUUAAAAAUAAAGUGAAAUGAAAUGAAAUUAAACUCAUUUAAAGUUAAAUAAUAAAUGAGAUUAAGUCUUGGACAAAUAUGACGUCUACAAUUAGUCCUCUUUGGAAUAAGGAAUUAUGCAAAAAUAUAUAAACAACUAAUUUUUGCUCAAAAUAGUUAUAAAAGAACUCAAAACUCCUUGACCAAGGCUCCACAACUUAAAAAGAAAUUAGAAUUCCUCCUUUAAGACUUUAAAACUUUUUACAACUCCUCUACCGAGGCUCCAAAACUUUUAAAUCUCCUCCACCAAUGCGUCAAAUUUAAAAAUGAAAUAAAAAACUCAACCAUCAAGGCUUUAAACUUUAAAAGAAAAUGAGAAUCCUUCCACCGGAUCUUUAAAACUUUUUACAACUCUUCCACCAAGACUCCAAAACUUUUUAAUCUUUUCCAUCGAGGCUCUAAAUUCCUUCACCAAGGUUUCAAUAUCUUAAGAAUUCUUUCAUUGAGGUUUCAAUAUCUUAAGACUUCCUCCAUCAAGGUUCCAAUAUCUUAAGAAUUUUUCUGCCAAGAUUCCAAUAUCUUAAGAAUUCCUCCACCAAGCCUUCAAAUUCCUCCAUCGAGGCUUCAAUAUCAUAUGAAUUCCUCAACCGAGGCUUCAAUAUCUUAAGAAUUCCUCCACUCAGGCUCUAAUAUCUUAAAAAUUUCUCUACUAAGUUUCCAAAAUCUUAAGAAUUCUUCCACUGAGGUUCCAAUAUCUUAAAAAUUCCUGCACUAAGGUUCCAAACUUUAGAUAAAGCUCCUCCACCAAGGCUUCAAAUCUUAAAAAAGGAAAUAUCAUUUCCUAAAUGUGUUAGUUCAAGAAGCUUAAGAUAAAGAAACCAAGAAAAGAGUGAAUUGGUAAUUUAAAAAAAUUGAUUUUUCUUGAAAACAGAAGUAAAGAUGAAAACUUUGAAAGCACAACUUAAAAACCCAAGUAUGAAAGCUUAAAAGCUGAAGAAUAAAGCAAGUAAUGAGUAUAAAAGAGAAGAGAAAAACUCAAUCAUGAUUUUAUAGAGGUUGGAUCCUUAAAGCUUACGUCUUUUCCCUUAAUAGUACAAGAAGUUUGAAUUCGUUAUCAACUGCCCUUUUCAACCAGAUUCAAGCAUAACCUUUACAAGUAACUACUUUUUAAGGAUUAAUCACUAUAAUAUCUCGUACUUUGAUAUGGUGACUAAUAAAGCUUAUUGGAUGUCAAUUGAGGUUAAUUAUAAUGUUUAAAAGUGAUGAAAGAUGAAAGAAACAAUUGGGAUAAAAAAUUUCGCACGCGAGAAAAUAAUAAUAAAAUAAUAAUAUUUUAUCGAGAAAAAAUUUAUGAGAUAAAAAGUGAUUCGAAAGUGAAUUGAGGCAUAAUAAGGUAUUUUGGAUACCAAGGAGACGAGAAAAUUUUUGGAAUAAAAAAAUAUUUUAUGAAUAAAAUAAUACUAAAAUAUUAAUAUUUUAUUCAGUGUCAAAAUUUUCCAUGAAUGAGGAGUAUAUGAUCAGUCUAAGUGGGGGAGAAAAAGAAUGAGAAAAUUUUGGAGAAAAAAAUGAUGUUAAUGGGGCCGCGUGUCUUUAUUAAGUAAAGAUAGCGUGGGUAAAUAAAUAUUUUAAAUAUUACGGGGACAUCGCGUUGGAGUACAAACUUCAUACUUUGUUUGUACAUGUGUAGAAGAAGAUAAUAAAAGGAAGUUGGAGUAAAAUGAGUGUUGGGAGGACUAAAUUAAAAUGGAAAGAAACAAAAAGGGCAAAACGAUAAUUUUAUGUGAAAUUUGGUCAAAGCUUCCAAAGGAAGCUUUGACCCUGAUUUUUUUCAGCCCAAAACCGUUCUUAUCUCCUUCAGCAAGAUAUUUCUUCUUAAUUCUUGAAGCUUCCAACGCCAUUCUCUCAUUCUCCCAUGGAAAGUUAAUUUUCUUUCAUUUUCUUUCCAUUUCCUUUAUCUUCUUGCUUCUUUCUUCUCCCAACUUCUUAUGCACCAAAGUUACAACUUCUUAUGCACCAAAGUUACAACUUCUAAGCCCAAUUUCCAGCACAUACAAACCCUAGGAGAAGAAGAAAGAAGGAGAGAAAGGAAGAAAAAGCUUGGUUUUGGUGAUUCAAGUAAGGAACGAUAAGAAUUCUUGUUUUUGGCUUGAGUAGUUUUUGAAAAUGAGUUAGUGACUUAGAGAAAUGUCUUGUGGCAGCAAAGAUUGGCUUGAUUGGAGAAAAAUUGGUAACAUGUAAGCCAAUAAACCCAUGGGUACAUGAAUGACUCAAAAUGGAAAAGGAAAACAGUAAGCUUAACACUAUGUUUUAAAGCCUAUGGUUAGUUGAAUAUUGUGAGGCAUUAUGGUUGUUGAAAGGAUUUAUUUGCCUAAGCUAGUUGAAAAUUAUUAAGAUUGUUUGACAUGUUGUUUGAAAGAAAUGAAAAAGGAAUAUUGUGGAUGGAGGAUUGAGAAACAAAGUAUUGAAAGUAAGAUAGAUAACGAUGUAUGUAAACUAGGAAAUAAUUGAGUGAAAGUAAGAAUGAUUGUGUCACGACCCGGUACUCCCCUCGAGCCCGUGACAAC
Molecule: long non-coding RNA, 7819 nt
Filed under: Theobroma cacao (cacao)
Lineage: Eukaryota; Viridiplantae; Streptophyta; Magnoliopsida; Malvales; Malvaceae
Description: long non-coding RNA (TCAC_LNC004475)
Source: RNAcentral